This 836-nucleotide ribosomal RNA is filed under the name Salmonella enterica. RNAcentral describes it as "partial 23S ribosomal RNA". It matches the Rfam family "Bacterial large subunit ribosomal RNA", at positions 711 to 1547 of the family's 2925-position model. Lineage: Bacteria; Pseudomonadati; Pseudomonadota; Gammaproteobacteria; Enterobacterales; Enterobacteriaceae. The record is from RNAcentral. RNAcentral also lists the same sequence under 4 other names.
AGACCCGAAACCCGGUGAUCUAGCCAUGGGCAGGUUGAAGGUUGGGUAACACUAACUGGAGGACCGAACCGACUAAUGUUGAAAAAUUAGCGGAUGACCUGUGGCUGGGGGUGAAAGGCCAAUCAAACCGGGAGAUAGCUGGUUCUCCCCGAAAGCUAUUUAGGUAGCGCCUCGUGAAUUCAUCUCCGGGGGUAGAGCACUGUUUCGGCUAGGGGGCCAUCCCGGCUUACCAACCCGAUGCAAACUGCGAAUACCGGAGAAUGUUAUCACGGGAGACACACGGCGGGUGCUAACGUCCGUCGUGAAGAGGGAAACAACCCAGACCGCCAGCUAAGGUCCCAAAGUCAUGGUUAAGUGGGAAACGAUGUGGGAAGGCCCAGACAGCCAGGAUGUUGGCUUAGAAGCAGCCAUCAUUUAAAGAAAGCGUAAUAGCUCACUGGUCGAGUCGGCCUGCGCGGAAGAUGUAACGGGGCUAAACCAUGCACCGAAGCUGCGGCAGCGACGCUGAUGCGUUGUUGGGUAGGGGAGCGUUCUGUAAGCCUGUGAAGGUGUGUCGUGAGGCAUGCUGGAGGUAUCAGAAGUGCGAAUGCUGACAUAAGUAACGAUAAAGCGGGUGAAAAGCCCGCUCGCCGGAAGACCAAGGGUUCCUGUCCAACGUUAAUCGGGGCAGGGUGAGUCGACCCCUAAGGCGAGGCCGAAAGGCGUAGUCGAUGGGAAACGGGUUAAUAUUCCCGUACUUGGUGUUACUGCGAAGGGGGGACGGAGAAGGCUAUGUUGGCCGGGCGACGGUUGUCCCGGUUUAAGCGUGUAGGUGUGUGUUCCAGGUAAAUCCGGUU